RNAcentral lists this ribosomal RNA (697 nucleotides) under uncultured beta proteobacterium. RNAcentral's name for it is "bacterial SSU rRNA". It matches the Rfam family "Bacterial small subunit ribosomal RNA", at positions 83 to 776 of the family's 1533-position model. Lineage: Bacteria; Pseudomonadati; Pseudomonadota; Betaproteobacteria. The record is from RNAcentral.
GGAUGCUGACGAGUGGCGAACGGGUGAGUAAUACAUCGGAACGUGCCCGAGAGUGGGGGAUAACGAAGCGAAAGCUUUGCUAAUACCGCAUACGAUCUCAGGAUGAAAGCAGGGGACCGCAAGGCCUUGCGCUCACGGAGCGGCCGAUGGCAGAUUAGGUAGUUGGUGGGAUAAAAGCUUACCAAGCCGACGAUCUGUAGCUGGUCUGAGAGGACGACCAGCCACACUGGGACUGAGACACGGCCCAGACUCCUACGGGAGGCAGCAGUGGGGAAUUUUGGACAAUGGGCGCAAGCCUGAUCCAGCCAUGCCGCGUGCAGGAUGAAGGCCUUCGGGUUGUAAACUGCUUUUGUACGGAACGAAAAGACUCUGGUUAAUACCUGGGGUCCAUGACGGUACCGUAAGAAUAAGCACCGGCUAACUACGUGCCAGCAGCCGCGGUAAUACGUAGGGUGCGAGCGUUAAUCGGAAUUACUGGGCGUAAAGCGUGCGCAGGCGGUUAUGUAAGACAGAUGUGAAAUCCCCGGGCUCAACCUGGGAACUGCAUUUGUGACUGCAUAGCUAGAGUACGGCAGAGGGGGAUGGAAUUCCGCGUGUAGCAGUGAAAUGCGUAGAUAUGCGGAGGAACACCGAUGGCGAAGGCAAUCCCCUGGGCCUGUACUGACGCUCAUGCACGAAAGCGUGGGGAGCAAACAGG